RNAcentral lists this ribosomal RNA (271 nucleotides) under uncultured bacterium. RNAcentral describes it as "partial 16S ribosomal RNA". It matches the Rfam family "Bacterial small subunit ribosomal RNA", at positions 524 to 796 of the family's 1533-position model. The record is from RNAcentral.
UACGAAGGGGGCUAGCGUUGUUCGGAAUCACUGGGCGUAAAGCGCACGUAGGCGGACUUUUAAGUCAGGGGUGAAAUCCCGGGGCUCAACCCCGGAACUGCCUUUGAUACUGGAAGUCUAGAGUCCGAGAGAGGUGAGUGGAACUCCGAGUGUAGAGGUGAAAUUCGUAGAUAUUCGGAAGAACACCAGUGGCGAAGGCGGCUCACUGGCUCGGACUGACGCUGAGGUGACGAAAGCGUGGGGCAAACAGGAUUCAGAUACCCCGUAGUCC